GCGGUGCCUGUGGAGCUGGACGGCGGCUGGGAAGGGUCCCCGCCUCCAAGAUGGGUGCCAAAAUGAUGAAUAUCAGGUGUCUAUUGGUGAAAGUUGGGGAAGAUCCCAGACCUUAACAGCCCUUUGGUGGAGGCCCCCACAUUGUGGCAGACGCCUCCACUCUGACACCUCUUUUGGGUGUCUCUCCUUUCCUGGACAAGGAGUAUUGUGUUCCCAUCCUGGACACAGAAGCUGCCAGAUGCCUGUCGAAUUGGAUUCAUGUGUCUCUCCCAGAUGAACUAACAUUUGAAGAGUCCUUCAGCAUCUUUAUCAAAGAAGGACUUCCAGGCACUGAGGUGCACUGGUGACCGAUACAUUUCUGGCCAGGUAUGGCUCCCAAAUCACAUCUUCUCUGUCUCCCUGUCUGCCCUUGCUUUUUCUAACACUCAGCUCCUCCAGUGGCAUUUUGGGCUAGAAGAAGAGAGGCUGGAGGUAUGAUGUCCCUUUUGGGCUUUGUCCUAUCAGCUCAUUGCUCAUGGGAGUCUCCCCCAAAUAGCCCUGGCUCAGUAGCUGCCUCCAGUUCUGGCUGCUACUAAGCUGUGAGCUCCAGGACUCCUGGCAACUGCUGAUCUGAGGCCUUUGACAGAAACUGGGAGCACCUUGACCCUGAUGCCCAGUUUGGCCCCCACGCCCCUAUAUCCUAAGACUGCCUGUCUCUGUCUUUGGCCACUUUACUGUCUACCCUGGAUCCUGCCCUUCCUCUUCAGGGUCUAGGGGCCUGGGAGCACUGAGGCUGAACUUUCUUGCACCAUCAGCACCUUCAUUAAAUCCCUUGAAGAUUGCAGUUCUCAGAGCGAUUUCCAGUCAAAGGCCCUGCAGCCCAGGAAGGUAGACACACUGUAGGCCAGGCUGCAGGUGACCUAGCUGUCCUCAUGCCAGUCCUCACAGUAGCUGCUUUUUCCUUUAUGGGUUUCCAUGUGCCGGGCUAGAGAGCUAACCUUGGGAGUGGAAUCCCAGAGUCUGGCCUGGGCUCCCUCUGUCCCUAUCAGGGCCUCUGUGCCCUCAGCUCACCUGAAGGUCUAGAUGAGAUGAUUUCUCUUUCAGCCCUGAUACUCCUAAUUUCUUAUGCCCUGCUGUCUAAUUGGAGAUGAAAAAGGGGGAAGGUAAUAAAAGAUACAGGAAAGUACAGAGAACAAUUAACAAAGCAUUGUGUACAUUUUGUCAUAUUUGCCUCAAGUCUUCUGCUCCUGGAUUCUAACACUCAGGAUUACAAACUGAGGUGCACCCAUGUCUUGACUCUGUACUCGUAAUCCUGGGAAGAAGAGGCAGGAAGAAGGACUUUGGACUGUCUACACUGGUUACUCUGGGUGGGUUAGUUGGGAUGUGAGGGUGGUUAUGAAGAAAUGAAGCUUCUGGAGGUUCUAGAAUCCUAGGGUCCUGAAGUUGGAGCAGAUCUCUGAGAUUACCCAAUCCAAAGCUUCAAGCCCUGCAUGAUUCCCCAUUGCUGUUUGGCAGGAACGCUGUUGCUCAUUUUCUUCCAGGCAGCCUCUUCCAUGGCUGACUGGCUCUGAGGGUGAGAAAGCCCCUUUUUCUGUGUGUAUAUCCAAACUGCUCCCUUGUAACUACCCCAUUGGCCUGCUC
This 1620-nucleotide long non-coding RNA is filed under the name Canis lupus familiaris (dog). RNAcentral's name for it is "lncRNA (ENSCAFG00000053465.1)". Lineage: Eukaryota; Metazoa; Chordata; Mammalia; Carnivora; Canidae. The record is from RNAcentral.